CCUCCUCUCAGGGCCUCGUCUCACCAUUAGACAUCUCGUUCCCAGUUAUAAUUUGCGAGGUUAGAUCAGGCUGCGCCAUGGCGUCCGCUACUGCUGUCAAGAUCGCCGCCAUCUUCAUGCUGGUGCUGACCAUGGGCCACCUGAUGGCCGAAGCAUCACCGCAGCCUCGGCGCCUGCUUGCAGAAACGGAGCAUGCUGGGGUGUCUGGGAAUGGGAAUCCUGGCCUCCCAGGCGAUGCUAGCGUCAUGCAGGUCCUCGAACCCGCCCUAGCUUCUGUUGUUGCCUGCAAACGAGGGUGCUUACUCCCUUUGCCUCUUCCUGUAUGUGUCUGCUAGAUCCUCUUCCUGGC
RNAcentral lists this long non-coding RNA (349 nucleotides) under Setaria viridis. RNAcentral's name for it is "long non-coding RNA (SVIR_LNC008754)". Lineage: Eukaryota; Viridiplantae; Streptophyta; Magnoliopsida; Poales; Poaceae. The record is from RNAcentral.